UACGUAGGGGGCAAGCGUUGUCCGGAUUUAUUGGGCGUAAAGAGCGUGUAGGCGGCCAGAUAGGUCCGUUGUGAAAACUGGAGGCUUAACCUCCAGCGGUCGAUGGAAACCAUCUGGCUAGAGUCCGGAAGAGGAGAGUGGAAUUCACGGUGUAGCAGUGAAAUGCGUAGAUAUCGUGAGGAAGACCGGUGGCGAAGGCGGAUCUCUGGACAGUUCCUGACGCUGAGGCGCGAAGGCCAGGGGAGCAAACGGG
Molecule: ribosomal RNA, 253 nt
Filed under: uncultured bacterium
Lineage: Bacteria
Description: partial 16S ribosomal RNA
Rfam family: Bacterial small subunit ribosomal RNA
Source: RNAcentral